Ciona intestinalis (vase tunicate) is the source of this 564-nucleotide non-coding RNA. The record is from RefSeq and is a predicted model, not a curated record. NCBI's taxonomy places the organism in Eukaryota, Metazoa, Chordata, Ascidiacea, Phlebobranchia, Cionidae.
GUACUUCUUAUAUAUUUUGUUAACAUUUUAACAGAACGAGCAAGUAUUAUAUAUUGAAACUGCAAAAUUAAAUCUGCGCUAUGAAAGUUUUACUUAUCUGUUUGUUAGUGGUUUCGUUGGUGGGAUAUUCAUAUUCUGCUUCACUGUCUCAGCCAGACGAAGAUGGACUGGUUAACUGUCUGGGGUUAUGCACAUUGGAGUAUAUGCCAGUGAGAGGAUGCUGGCUGUACAACGGAGAACCUCGCACCAGACAGUUUUCGAACCACUGUCUUCUUAGGCAUGCACAAAGAUGCAACGAGGGUCGCCUUGAAAUCAACCUUUGCUAAACAGACGUGGCUUUCAAUCGUUUAAACCUUAUUAACAGUUUUAAUUCUCGUUGAAUAAUUUUGCUACGUUGUGUUCCAUUAUGUAACUUGUUCACUUAUACUAUAUAUGAGUAAGGUCAUUGUUCGAGAACCUAUACGAUUUCGGCCAGAUUUGGCCGUAUAAUUAGAAUUCACUCUGUAACAGAAUCAAUUGUUUUGUUUAUAUCUAGUACCCAAAUUAAAUUACACUAUUGAAAUU